This is an RNA transcript of Magnolia sinica, 1251 nucleotides long. RefSeq lists it as uncharacterized. The record is from RefSeq and is a predicted model, not a curated record. Lineage: Eukaryota; Viridiplantae; Streptophyta; Magnoliopsida; Magnoliales; Magnoliaceae. The transcript is spliced from 4 exons.
GAUGACCUUAGGAAGGUUUCCACGGUGGGCGUCACCUUCCCCACAGUUUCCUGUGGUGGGGUCCACUCCAGCUUUGGGUAUGCCUCAUUCUUUCGAUGAUGCCCUAAAAUAAUCUCUAUAAAUGGAUGGACAUACAUACAUCAUGGUGGGCCCAUAGAACUUGAUGACCUCACUUCAGUAGCCAGUCUCGCUACUUACAGUAGCUAAUCCGCGUCUGUUUAUGGUACACCACCCAAUCUGCUUCUCUAUAAUCAUCAACUCUCAUGACCUUUUAUAGUUUAAAACCAGGACAACGGAAGAACAAUCCAUUUCCAAUGGAAGACGAUCUGAGCUCCUGGAUGAUCGUGCUGUACGAGCUCCCUUAAAUGCUGAAAGAAAGCCGUAGGAGUGAUUUCAGGAGGGAUCAGGAUUAGGAGCAUAAGGAAAAUCACAGAGUGAGGAUGGAGGUCAAAGAUAUGGAUCUUUUGUCCAUUAGGGGACUAAGCUUCAAAUAUAUCACCAAACUGCAAUGAUAGGAGAAAGCAAAAGCUCAGAAAGAAACUAUUGAUGGCAGACUAAGAGGGAGAUUUGUUUGAAGGUUAGUGUUGAUUUCAAAGUCUACUCCUUAGAAGAUGUUUCUGCAUGGGUAACUUCAUGAUGUUGCUGGGUGGAGUUACGAAAAUGAUUCGGUGCUCUGUCUUGUUACUUCUAUCUUCAAAAUCGUGGUGGAUAUGGUUCUCAGUUGGUGGUAAGAAAGAGGGACUGUUAUGGUACAUCAUCUAUUGAAUGCCUUUUUUGGUUCCUCUAAAGCAAUCGUGUGGCGUAGGAUAUGGGGUAUCACGUUGAUGGUACAGGAGGAGGUGGAAGAAGCUUGGAAAAGAAAUUGCCACUCCUUGACAGAAAAAAAGGGAGCCCACCAUGUCUGUAUCUUAAAUGUAAUUUACUAAUCUGAUAUAAUGCAUCUGUAGCUUGAAUGGAAAAGCUCUUCUCAGCUGUAUAUAUUCCAAGGACCAUCGGAGUUGAUGCCACUUAAUCAUUUGUGUUAUGGAGAGGAAGCUUAUCCAGCAUCGGGCAUCCUUGAAUCUUCAACUUCUUCGGCAUCGGCACGUGCCCACCAUGAAUUCUUUUCAAUUUGUGUAACUCCUAAAGACGUAAAUCAACUAGCUGUGGAAGGAAAUGCAUUUUGCCCCACCACGUUGUCUUCUACAAAGACCUUUUCCGGUCUACAACAGAAUUUUAUUGCAAGUAAUUUGAGAUUCUGUAACUGAAUGC